Long non-coding RNA from Frankliniella occidentalis (western flower thrips), 2616 nucleotides. RefSeq lists it as uncharacterized. The record is from RefSeq and is a predicted model, not a curated record. Lineage: Eukaryota; Metazoa; Arthropoda; Insecta; Thysanoptera; Thripidae. The transcript has 5 exons.
CCCUCAUCGGCGCAGUGGACUUCACGCAACGUAAAUUCCGAGCCGUGCCAGGAAUAAGCUGCAUCCUCCGCGUCCCCACAGAAGUGUUUAUCUUGACGCUUACGUCUUCACCAUCGUCCAGAUUGUGCAAGCCUUCCGCUUUGACAAAGUGUGGCGUGUCGUCCAGUUUCCUCAUUUUCUGGACGCCAUCCUGGAUUUCUUCGAGCUUGUUCCCAAAUAGAAGCUUUUCCUGUGCUUACACAACGGCCAUACUCUCCUCAUCGUUUCUGCCGCCGUCAUGGACUUCAUGCCGUUCGCCGCCUUGGUGUGUUUUUCGACCUCCUUUCCGUUCUGUGCGUUUGCGCCGGCCAUCGCAGUUGGUCUCGUGGAGCACCACCAACGCCUGGGAGUCUUGGACGGGGUUCACUGGCUGCUGCAGAAUCAUGUCACCACCUCGUCGCCUUCAUCAGCGCCCUACACUUCACGCCAUGAAUCUUCUGAGCCGUGCGAGGGAUAAGCUGCAUCCCCCGCGUCCCCACAGAAGUGUCUAUCUUGACGCUUACGGCUCCAUCAUCGUCCAGAUUGUGCAGGCCUUCCGCUUUGACAAAGUGUGGCGUGUCGUCCAGCUUUCUCAUUUCGUGGACGUUUUUCUGCAUUUCAUCGAGCUUGUUCCCAAAUCGAAGCUACACAACGGCCUUACUUUCCUCAUCGUUUAUGCCGCCGCCGUAGACUUGAUAUUUUUCGCCGCCUUGCUGUGUUUCUCGACCUCCUUUCCUGUUUUGUGCGUUUGCGCCGGCCAUCGCCGUUGGGCUCGUGGAGCACCACCAACGCCUGGGAGUCUUGGACGGGACGUCUUAGCUGCUUCGAAUGACGUCAUCCACCUCGUCACCUUCACCAGCGACGUGGACUUCAAGCCAUGUACCUUCCGAGCCGUGCCAGCGAUGAGCUGCUUGCCCCGCGUCCGCACAGAAGUGUUAAGAGUUUGUUUAGAAAAGUUUUGUGGUGCGGUGCAUGUGUUCCGGAUCUCGAAGAUGAUCCUGUCGGCAAGUCUAGCUGAUGGGAAUGCUGGCCGAUUCGUGUUACUUUGUCAAAGCGGAGGGCCUGCGCCGUCUGGACGCUGUAGGCGUCGUGAGCGUGCAACGCCUGUCCCAUUUUCGUCUUGGGCACCAUCAUCAUGGAGACGGCGGCGGCGUCCUCUCGCAGCUUCACCAGCGUACCAAGACAUCGCCGGCUGUCACGCUAGCGAGGACCCUUCGUGAACCAGACUGCACCACGUCGGCAACUUUUGUUGAAGGUGACUUCGGAACAUUUGGUCUGAAGAGAAGUCUAAUGGUGUGGAGCAGGUGUUACCGAUCUCAAAGAUGAUCCUGUCGGCAAGUUUAGCUGAUGGGAAGGCUCGCCGAUACGUUUUACUUUGUCGAAUCGGAGCCCCUGCGCAGUCUGGACGCUGUAGGCGUCGUGAGCGCGCAACGAGAGUCUUUUUUUCUUCUUGUGUUCUAUCAUCAUGUAGACUGCGGCGGCGUCCUCUCGCAGCUUCACCAGUGUACCACGACAUCGCCGGCUGUCACGCUAGCGUUGACGCAUUGAAAACCGGCCUGUACCACGUCGGCACGUUUUGAUGAAGGUUGAUCUUUGUUUGGUCUUAUGGCUAACGUGAUUUGGAAGAAAAUUAUAGGAGCACGAUGCCUGUAUUUUGAUAUCGAGGGAGGCAAACGAAAAUUGUUCAUAAAACCUUAACUUAAUGUUCAUUUCUUAUUGAUGUUUAUGUUGUGUGAAUGUUGUGAUGAAUAGAUUUGGCAAUUCUUAGUAAUUUGCUAGAUUGGUUUGUUUGUUUUGCAUAUAAAAGAAAAGCGUAGAGAGGGUGAGGCAACUGGAAACAUUUUGACAUAUUUAUCAUUGUAACUCGGGAGUAAAUGAAGUUAGACUUUAGCGCUCGGGUCGAGAAGAAAGCCACAACUUUGUACUACACCAAUCUGCUUUGUUUUUGAGAAUAUUUUAUAACCGUUUUGUGAGAAAGAUAUCUUUAGUGCAGCUCUGAACUUUGUCUCCAGGUGCUUGGCGGCUGUAGGGUCCCCCACUUCCAAAAUAGGUGUACAACGAGUUGGCGAGUUGACGAGUUGCCGCGAGUAAGGCACGAGUUGUCAUCAAUUUUUGAGGAGUUUUGCGCUAUUUUUCGCAGAUUUAGCGCGAGUUUUCGCAAAUUUCCGCGAGUUUGCACGAGUUCUUGCGAGUUUUUGCAAAUUCGACGCGAGUUUGACGCGAUUUGGGUGCGGGCAAGUGUACAACGAGUUGGCUAGUGGGGGAUCCCUCGUUCGCGGCAUUUCUGUGUGCUUCAGCCUGGGGCACCUUGAGACAAAGUCCAGUGUUGCAAGCGGGCGGUAACAUUGGUGAUUUCGGAAGUUUUUCAAAUUUUAGCGACGUUAAAGUCAUGGGAAGCUGACAACAGUGCGACGACAAUUAUUAAACAAGCCGGUGGCUUUCGCCUAAAUAAUGGCUGAGCAGUGAGGUGCUAAGUGUCGGGAAUAGGGCAUAUCGUACACGCUGUCGUACAACAAAAUUGGCACAUCCAACCAAUACGUCAAAGAGCACAGGAUCUAGAAUGAAAUCACUUGCGAAAUAGUUUGUUUGUGUUUUUCC